This 253-nucleotide ribosomal RNA is filed under the name uncultured bacterium. Its description in RNAcentral is "partial 16S ribosomal RNA". It matches the Rfam family "Bacterial small subunit ribosomal RNA", at positions 524 to 776 of the family's 1533-position model. The record is from RNAcentral.
UCCGUAGGUGGCGAUCGUUGUCCGGAAUUACUGGGUGUAAAGGGCGUGCAGGCGGGACUGCAAGUCAGAUGUGAAAUUCCCAGGCUUAACCUGGGCGCUGCAUCUGAAACUGUAGUUCUUGAGUGUCGGAGAGGAAAGCGGAAUUCCUAGUGUAGCGGUGAAGUGCGUAGAUAUUAGGAGGAACACCAGUGGCGAAGGCGGCUUUCUGGACGAUAACUGACGCUGAGGCGCGAAAGCGUGGGGAGCAAACAGG